UUUGGUUGCCUGUUCAGUUCUAGCGUCAGGUUGUUGGUGAAUCCACACGGCAAAAUAGUGCGCUAAUUUUUUGGCGAGCCCCGAUUUGGCAAGGCUGGUACGGGCGGCAUCCAAACAACCCCUGUGAGCCAAGCUCUCAUCCCUUCCUCUUGACAUCAAGGGAGAUUUGCAUCCAUUACGAUUUCCUAGAGAGUUUAUAAAGGUAUUCAAGAUCAUGCGAGCUGCUGGAUCUGUUUGUAUGUCGCCUGAACCCUACCUAGUGCUCUACAAGGCCUGGAGCAAAAGUUGGGAGUCUAGUACAGAUCGAUUCAGAUCUGAGGUGUUAUAUCUUAAAAGAAUACCGAGAGUUUGUUUAACUGGAUGGAUGCAGCCUUGGCUGGAGCAUCUGCAAUCGUAUUUUGUUCUCUUGAAACAUAGGUCUGAAGCUUACAAAAAGUUCGUUGAUCAGCUCCAUGGUAACUGGUUGCAGAGUCCAGUGAUGUGCUGGAGUGUUUUCCGCUAGUUAAGUCUGAUCCAUGCACUCCUAGUGGUGUGGACAGCUUCUGCAUGUACAGGGGAGGGAGGAAUUGCCUGAACAUCGGCAAUAAUAGGGAGUUGGCCCAUGGAUGUACUUAACAUUCACACGGAUGGUAUAGAGGGAGCUAUGUAUUUGGUGCUAGCUGCUGAGUCUCAAUUGAGCAUGUGACUGUAUCCCUUUUAUGCUUUUUGGUUCACGCUUGUGGUAGAUUCUGGUGUCUUAUGGAUGAAAUUAUGAUAAAUAUAAAUGAAAUUAGGAUAAAAGCACAAUUCAGAAAAUCAUCUCGUCUCA
Molecule: non-coding RNA, 808 nt
Organism: Triticum urartu
Lineage: Eukaryota; Viridiplantae; Streptophyta; Magnoliopsida; Poales; Poaceae
Source: RefSeq, a predicted model, not a curated record